AUUGAACGCUGGCGGCAUGCCUUACACUUGCAAGUCGAACGGCAGCACGGAGCUUGCUCUGGUGGCGAGUGGCGAACGGGUGAGUAAUAUAUCGGAACGUACCCUAGAGUGGGGGAUAACGUAGCGAAAGUUACGCUAAUACCGCAUACGAUCUAAGGAUGAAAGUGGGGGAUCGCAAGACCUCAUGCUCGUGGAGCGGCCGAUAUCUGAUUAGCUAGUUGGUAGGGUAAAAGCCUACCAAGGCAUCGAUCAGUAGCUGGUCUGAGAGGACGACCAGCCACACUGGAACUGAGACACGGUCCAGACUCCUACAGGAGGCAGCAGUGGGGAAUUUUGGACAAUGGGCGAAAGCCUGAUCCAGCAAUGCCGCGUGAGUGAAGAAGGCCUUCGGGUUGUAAAGCUCUUUUGUCAGGGAAGAAACGGUGAGAGCUAAUAUCUCUUGCUAAUGACGGUACCUGAAGAAUAAGCACCGGCUAACUACGUGCCAGCAGCCGCGGUAAUACGUAGGGUGCAAGCGUUAAUCGGAAUUACUGGGCGUAAAGCGUGCGCAGGCGGUUUUGUAAGUCUGAUGUGAAAUCCCCGGGCUCAACCUGGGAAUUGCAUUGGAGACUGCAAGGCUAGAAUCUGGCAGAGGGGGGUAGAAUUCCACGUGUAGCAGUGAAAUGCGUAGAUAUGUGGAGGAACACCGAUGGGGAAGGCAGCCCCCUGGGUCAAGAUUGACGCUCAUGCACGAAAGCGUGGGGAGCAAACAGGAUUAGAUACCCUGUUAGUCCACGCCCUAAACGAUGUCUACUAGUUGUCGGGUCUUAAUUGACUUGGUAACGCAGCUAACGCGUGAAGUAGACCGCCUGGGGAGUACGGUCGCAAGAUUAAAACUCAAAGGAAUUGACGGGGACCCGCACAAGCGGUGGAUGAUGUGGAUUAAUUCGAUGCAACGCGAAAAACCUUACCUACCCUUGACAUGGCUGGAAUCCCCGAGAGAUCAGGGAGUGCUCGAAAGGGAACCAGUACACAGGUGCUGCAUGGCUGUCGUCAGCUCGUGUCGUGAGAUGUUGGGUUAAGUCCCGCAACGAGCGCAACCCUUGUCAUUAGUUGCUACGAAAGGGCACUCUAAUGAGACUGCCGGUGACAAACCGGAGGAAGGUGGGGAUGACGUCAAGUCCUCAUGGCCCUUAUGGGUAGGGCUUCACACGUCAUACAAUGGUACAUACAGAGCGCCGCCAACCCGCGAGGGGGAGCUAAUCGCAGAAAGUGUAUCGUAGUCCGGAUUGUAGUAUGCAACUCGACUGCAUGAAGUUGGAAUCGCUAGUAAUCGCGGAUCAGCAUGUCGCGGUGAAUACGUUAAAAGGUCU
RNAcentral lists this ribosomal RNA (1352 nucleotides) under uncultured bacterium. RNAcentral's name for it is "bacterial SSU rRNA". It matches the Rfam family "Bacterial small subunit ribosomal RNA", at positions 28 to 1381 of the family's 1533-position model. The record is from RNAcentral.